GACACUUUGGCCGAGUGGUCUAAGGCGCAGGCCUGCUAUUAGGGUUACUUAGUAACCAAUACAGCCUGUAUCUUCGGAUGCGUGUGUUCGAAUCACACAGGUGUCG
This is a transfer RNA of Aspergillus wentii DTO 134E9, 106 nucleotides long. It matches the Rfam family "tRNA". From Rfam's summary of the family: Transfer RNA (tRNA) molecules are approximately 80 nucleotides in length. Their secondary structure includes four short double-helical elements and three loops (D, anti-codon, and T loops). Further hydrogen bonds mediate the characteristic L-shaped molecular structure. tRNAs have two regions of fundamental functional importance: the anti-codon, which is responsible for specific mRNA codon recognition, and the 3' end, to which the tRNAs corresponding amino acid is attached (by aminoacyl-tRNA synthetases). tRNAs cope with the degeneracy of the genetic code in two manners: having more than one tRNA (with a specific anti-codon) for a particular amino acid; and 'wobble' base-pairing, i.e. permitting non-standard base-pairing at the 3rd anti-codon position. The record is from Rfam. Lineage: Eukaryota; Fungi; Ascomycota; Eurotiomycetes; Eurotiales; Aspergillaceae.